GCUCCGCUGGCGCAAUGGUAGCGCGCCAGACUUCUAUUGCUUGAAAUCUGGAGGGUAUGUCAUUAAUUCCCUUCCUCAAACGCGCUGGAGGAUGCUAACAUAUGGACCGUUAGCUGUGUGUUCGAGUCCCACGCGGAGUG
Molecule: transfer RNA, 140 nt
Organism: Fonsecaea multimorphosa CBS 102226
Lineage: Eukaryota; Fungi; Ascomycota; Eurotiomycetes; Chaetothyriales; Herpotrichiellaceae
Rfam family: tRNA
About the family: Transfer RNA (tRNA) molecules are approximately 80 nucleotides in length.
Source: Rfam